Molecule: ribosomal RNA, 987 nt
Filed under: Triticum aestivum (bread wheat)
Lineage: Eukaryota; Viridiplantae; Streptophyta; Magnoliopsida; Poales; Poaceae
Description: partial small subunit ribosomal RNA
Source: RNAcentral
AUGCCUCGGAUUGGUAUGAAAUUCAAUUCCACAAAAGAGGCUUGGAACUUUUGGACAUGUUAUGGAGGUCAUAUUGGUUUUGAUGUAAGGAUAAAUUAUGAAAACAAGAGCAAACUCGAUGGAGUAAUCACUUCAGCAAGAUAUGUUUGUUCCAAUGAGGGCUACAGAAGAAAAGACAAAAGGGAUAAUAGUACAAAGCGUCCUCGUGCAGAAACAAGGACCGGCUGCAAUGUUCGAAUGGGAAUUACUAUAGACCGAGAAGCAGGAAAUUAUGAGGUGCAUGAGUUAGUUGUUGAACACAACCAUGUCUUGCAAUUACCUGGGACAAGCCACUUGAUGCCAUCACAGAGGAAGAUUUCGGCCUUGCAAGCAUUUGAAAUUGAAACAACAGAUGAUUCAGGAAUUGUACCUAGAAAAGCCCAUGAGCUAGCAAGUCGACAAGUUGGUGGUCCACUAAACCUUGGCUACACAUCUCGUGAUCGCAAGAACCACUUGCGAACCAAGCGACAAAGGGACCUGAUGUAUGGUGAAGCUGGAAGUAUGCUCAAGUAUUUUAGAGAUAAAAAGAAUGAGAAUCCUGCAUUUGAAUAUGACAUGCAACUAGAUUGCGAUGAAAAUAUAGCAACUAUCUUCUGGGCUGAUGCAAGGAUGAUAAUUGACUAUGCUCAUUUCGGUGAUGUUGUUACCUUCGAUACAACAUUUGGGACAAACAAAGAGUACAGACCCUUUGGUGUGUUUGUUGGCUUCAACCAUUUCAGAGAAAUGGUCAUUUUUGGUGCUGCACUUUUAUAUGAUGAGACAUUUGAAUCAUUCAAAUGGUUGUUCAACACGUUCCUAUCAGUGCAUAACAAAAAACAACCAAGGACAAUCUUUAUUGAUCAAGAUGUAGCAAUGGGUAAUGCAAUUCAGGCAGUAUUUUACCGAAGCAUGGCAUGGGUUGUGCACUUUUCACAUAAUGCAAAAUGCCAUCAGGCACUUACCUCAUAA